This 297-nucleotide long non-coding RNA is filed under the name Linum usitatissimum (flax). Its description in RNAcentral is "long non-coding RNA (LUSI_LNC002923)". Lineage: Eukaryota; Viridiplantae; Streptophyta; Magnoliopsida; Malpighiales; Linaceae. The record is from RNAcentral.
UGAGUUCUUUCAUUUCUCCAUUUCUCAACUUAUACACUCAGCUUCCAGUUUUACUGUAGGGUAACUAAUUAAACGGGAAGAAUAGAGGUAUGACUGCGACACGUGGCAGUCAUCCGUCUUACCAAAACAAAACGACACAGUUCUAUUUAAAACACUCAACUCGCGUUACACAUUGAUCACUCAACUUUCAUUCAUUGACAAGUUGGUCACUCAAUUCAUUGUCUUCGUCGUCCGACACUUCAUCACCUUCUUCCUCGAGCUUCAGGCCAUGGUUGGUCUGUUGCUUCUCAUUUGAUA